AACCAAGGCCAUGUAGGGAAAGGCUGGUGAAAAUCCAGCGCUGUGCCGCAGCUGUCAAAGUCAGAAUACCUACAUUGUU
Phormidesmis priestleyi Ana is the source of this 79-nucleotide non-coding RNA. NCBI's taxonomy places the organism in Bacteria, Bacillati, Cyanobacteriota, Cyanophyceae, Leptolyngbyales, Leptolyngbyaceae. The record is from Rfam.